CCUACGGGUGGCAGCAGUGAGGAAUAUUGGUCAAUGGGCGUAAGCCUGAACCAGCCAAGUCGCGUGAGGGAAGACGGUUCUAUGGGUUGUAAACCUCUUUUGUCGGGGAACAAAAUGCGGGACGUGUCCCGUUCUGUGUGUACCCGAUGAAAAAGCAUCGGCUAACUCCGUGCCAGCAGCCGCGGUAAUACGGAGGAUGCGAGCGUUAUCCGGAUUUAUUGGGUUUAAAGGGUGCGAAGGCGGUAUGUUAAGUCAGCGGUAAAAUUGUGGGGCUCAACCUCGUCGAGCCGUUGAAACUGGGUGUCUUGAGUGUGCGAGAGGUACGCGGAAUGCGUGGUGUAGCGGUGAAAUGCUUAGAUAUCGCGCAGAACUCCGAUUGCGAAGGCAGCGUACCGGCGCAUGACUGACGCUGAUGCACGAAAGCGUGGGGAUCGAACAGGAUUAGAUACCCCGGUAGUC
This 459-nucleotide ribosomal RNA is filed under the name uncultured bacterium. RNAcentral describes it as "partial 16S ribosomal RNA". It matches the Rfam family "Bacterial small subunit ribosomal RNA", at positions 338 to 795 of the family's 1533-position model. The record is from RNAcentral.